Molecule: ribosomal RNA, 253 nt
Filed under: uncultured bacterium
Lineage: Bacteria
Description: partial 16S ribosomal RNA
Rfam family: Bacterial small subunit ribosomal RNA
Source: RNAcentral
UACGUAGGGGGCAAGCGUUGUCCGGAAUUAUUGGGCGUAAAGAGCGCGUAGGCGGUCCGUUAAGUCGGCUGUGAAAGUCAGGGGCUCAACCCUUGAAAGCCGGCCGAUACUGUCGGACUAGAGUCCGGAAGAGGCAAGUGGAAUUCCCGGUGUAGCGGUGAAAUGCGCAGAUAUCGGGAGGAACACCAAUGGCGAAGGCAGCUUGCUGGGACGGUACUGACGCUGAGGCGCGAAAGCGUGGGGAGCAAACAGG